CCCCGAAACUAGGUGAGCUACUUAAAAACAGCCUUCUGGGCCAACCCGUCUCUGUUGCAAAAGAGUGGGAAGAUUUUUAAGUAGAGGUGAUAAACCUACCGAACCUAGAGAUAGCUGGUUAUUCAGGAAAAGGAUUUAAGUCCUACCUUAGGUUUUUGUACAAUACAAGUACCCCCCCCAACCUUAAGAGCUAUUCAAAUAAGGUACAGCCUAUUUGAAACAGGAUACAACCUCACCAACUGGGUAAUAUAUUUUUAACAUCAACUAAGUGGGCCUAAAAGCAGCCACCUUUAAAAAAGCGUUAAAGCUUCAUUGCAUUUUAUAAAAAUUCCACUAAUUUUCUAAAACCCUUAACCUGUACUGAAUGGUCUUAUGACUUCAUAAGAGCCUAUAUGUUAGAACUAGUAACAAGAAGAAGCCCUUCUCCAAAAUGUAAGCAUGAGCCAAAAUGAACUAUUCAUUGGCAUUUAAAGUCAAUAAUCUUCUAGUAGUAACUUUUCAAGAAAAACCUACUAUAUUUAACGUCAACCUUACACCAGCACAUUUCUGGAAAGAUUAAAAAACUAGGAAGGAACUCGGCAAACAAAUAACCCCGCCUGUUUACCAAAAACAUCGCCUCCUGAUUUUUAUAGGAGGUCUAGCCUGCCCAGUGACAAAGUUAAACGGCCGCGGUACCCUAACCGUGCAAAGGUAGCGCAAUCACUUGUUCUUUAAAUGAGGACUAGUAUGAACGGCAUCACGAGGGUUAUGCUGUCUCCCUACUUUAUUCAGUGAAACUGAUCUCCCCGUGAAGAAGCGGGGAUAAAAAUAUAAGACGAGAAGACCCCAUGGAGCUUUAAACUCAGUAUCAACUGCCAUAUUUAAAACCUAAUAUUUAAGCAAUCUCUGAUUACUAGUUUUCGGUUGGGGUGACCACGGAGUAAAAUCUAACCUCCACGAUGAAAGGAAAUAAUAACCUAAAUUAAGAGCUACAGCUCUAAAUAUCAAUAAAUUGACUAAUUGAUCCAAUUAAUUGAUCAACGAACCAAGUUACCCUGGGGAUAACAGCGCAAUCCAUUUCAAGAGCUCUUAUCGACAAAUGGGUUUACGACCUCGAUGUUGGAUCAGGGUAUCCCAGUGGCGCAGCCGCUACUAACGGUUCG
Molecule: ribosomal RNA, 1142 nt
Filed under: Microhyla heymonsi (Taiwan rice frog)
Lineage: Eukaryota; Metazoa; Chordata; Amphibia; Anura; Microhylidae
Description: partial large subunit ribosomal RNA
Rfam family: Bacterial large subunit ribosomal RNA
Source: RNAcentral